RNAcentral lists this long non-coding RNA (408 nucleotides) under Citrus sinensis (sweet orange). Its description in RNAcentral is "long non-coding RNA (CSIN_LNC005701)". Lineage: Eukaryota; Viridiplantae; Streptophyta; Magnoliopsida; Sapindales; Rutaceae. The record is from RNAcentral.
CUCUCUCUCUCUCUCUCUCUCGGUCUCUAAUCUGAUAUCCUCUCCGGUUCUGGAACUUUCUUUAUGGUUUUUUAUAAAUGUGAAAAUUACGAAACGAAACGACGAGUUUUAAGCGUGUUUUAGUUUUGGCGAUGGAGGUUCAAGAGCGUUCCAGGUGAAAUCGAAACGGAGAACGAAAUGAGUACGAACUUCCGCUGGUCAGCAAUUUAAACGACACUUCCUUGCGAGAAGAAGAUUAAGUGACAAGCAAAGAACCGAAUUACGUGACGGUGAAAUCUGAUUGGCUGAUGCUUUUGUUGACUUAAGUCAGCGCGUGCUUUGAUUCGCUUGUGACUUCGACAAAUUUGCGGAGAGACUUCUGGUUGACCCAUUUGAGGGUCAUUUCUUGGACGGACAUUUGGAUUGGUG